GGCUCAGAACGAACGCUGGCGGCGUGGAUUAGGCAUGCAAGUCGUGCGAGAAAGGGAUAGCAAUAUCCUGAGUACAGCGGCGAACUGGUGAGUAACAGGUGGGUAAUGUACCCUGAAGUGGGGGAUAACACCGGGAAACCGGUGCUAAUACCGCAUGUGAUCACCGAGACUCUGGUCUUGGUGGAUAAAGCAGCAAUGCGCUUCAGGAUCGGCCCGCCCCCGAUUAGCUAGUUGGUGAGGUCAUAGCUCACCAAGGCGACGAUCGGUAGCUGGUCUGAGAGGAUGGUCAGCCACACUGGAACUGAGAUACGGUCCAGACUCCUACGGGGGGCAGCAGUCUAGAGGCUUCGGCAAUGGGGGAAACCCUGACCGAGCGACGCCGCGUGUGGGAUUGAAGGCCUUCGGGUCGUAAACCACUGUCAUGAGGGAAGAAUACCUGGAUGGCGAAUCCAGGGGUGACGGUACCUCAAGAGGAAGCCCCGGCUAACUCCGUGCCAGCAGCCGCGGUAAUACGGAGGGGGCAAGCGUUGUUCGGAUUUACUGGGCGUAAAGGGUGUGUAGGCGGCCGCGUCAGUCUGGUGUGAAAUCUUCACCGCUCAACGGGAAGAGGUCACUGGAAACUGCGCGGCUCGAGAAUGGUAGAGGCUAGCGGAAUUCCUGGUGUAGCGGUGGAAUGUAUAGAUAUCAGGAAGAACACCUGUGGCGAAGGCGGCUAGCUGGGCCAUCACUGACGCUGAGACACGAAAGCGUGGGGAGCAAACGGGAUUAGAUACCCCGGUAGUCCACGCUGUAAACGGUGCGCACUAGGUGUGGGAGGUAUCGACCCCUCCUGUGCCGCAGUUAACACAUUAAGUGCGCCGCCUGGGGAGU
RNAcentral lists this ribosomal RNA (870 nucleotides) under uncultured bacterium. Its description in RNAcentral is "bacterial SSU rRNA". It matches the Rfam family "Bacterial small subunit ribosomal RNA", at positions 21 to 881 of the family's 1533-position model. The record is from RNAcentral.